GGUAACCUGCCUCAUACAGGGGGAUAACAGUUAGAAAUGACUGCUAAUACCGCAUAAGCGCACAGGGCUGCAUGGCCCGGUGUGAAAAACUCCGGUGGUAUGAGAUGGACCCGCGUCUGAUUAGCUGGUUGGAGGGGUAACGGCCCACCAAGGCGACGAUCAGUAGCCGGCCUGAGAGGGUGAACGGCCACAUUGGGGCUGAGACACGGCCCAGACUCCUACGGGAGGCAGCAGUGGGGAAUAUUGCACAAUGGGGGAAACCCUGAUGCAGCGACGCCGCGUGAAGGAAGAAGUAUCUCGGUAUGUAAACUUCUAUCAGCAGGGAAGAAAAUGACGGUACCUGACUAAGAAGCCCCGGCUAACUACGUGCCAGCAGCCGCGGUAAUACGUAGGGGGCAAGCGUUAUCCGGAUUUACUGGGUGUAAAGGGAGCGUAGACGGAAGAGCAAGUCUGAUGUGAAAGGCUGGGGCUUAACCCCAGGACUGCAUUGGAAACUGUUUUUCUAGAGUGCCGGAGAGGUAAGCGGAAUUCCUAGUGUAGCGGUGAAAUGCGUAGAUAUUAGGAGGAACACCAGUGGCGAAGGCGGCUUACUGGACGGUAACUGACGUUGAGGCUCGAAAGCGUGGGGAGCAAACAGGAUUAGAUACCCUGGUAGUCCACGCCGUAAAC
This 669-nucleotide ribosomal RNA is filed under the name uncultured bacterium. Its description in RNAcentral is "bacterial SSU rRNA". It matches the Rfam family "Bacterial small subunit ribosomal RNA", at positions 120 to 807 of the family's 1533-position model. The record is from RNAcentral.